AAAUAAAUAGAUUAGGGGCUGUUUGGUUCCUUGUAAAACUACAGGAAAAAAAUUUUCGGUAGAAAAAAAUUUUUGGAGGAAAAUAAAUUUUACGGUUUAGUGUUUGGUUUGUAGUAAACGAAAAGUAGUUUUUCAUUACGGUUGUUUGGUUGAAAGGAAAAAAAAGAAAAAGAAGAAAAAAAAUUAGUUACAAAUAAAAAAUUAUUAUUAUAUAUAUAUAUAUUUAUUUAUUUUAUAUAAAUAAAAUAUUAUAUAUAUAUAUAUAUAUUAUAUAUAUAAAAAU
RNAcentral lists this long non-coding RNA (283 nucleotides) under Ananas comosus (pineapple). Its description in RNAcentral is "long non-coding RNA (ACOM_LNC001453)". Lineage: Eukaryota; Viridiplantae; Streptophyta; Magnoliopsida; Poales; Bromeliaceae. The record is from RNAcentral.